RNAcentral lists this ribosomal RNA (362 nucleotides) under uncultured bacterium. RNAcentral describes it as "partial 16S ribosomal RNA". It matches the Rfam family "Bacterial small subunit ribosomal RNA", at positions 355 to 709 of the family's 1533-position model. The record is from RNAcentral.
UGGGGAAUAUUGCACAAUGGGCGCAAGCCUGAUGCAGCCAUGCCGCGUGUAUGAAGAAGGCCUUCGGGUUGUAAAGUACUUUCAGCGGGGAGGAAGGCGAUAAGGUUAAUAACCUUGUCGAUUGACGUUACCCGCAGAAGAAGCACCGGCUAACUCCGUGCCAGCAGCCGCGGUAAUACGGAGGGUGCAAGCGUGAAUCGGAAUUACUGGGCGUAAAGAGCACGCAGGCGGUCUGUCAAGUCGGAUGUGAAAUCCCCGGGCUCAACCUGGGAACUGCAUUCGAAACUGGCAGGCUAGAGUCUUGUAGAGGGUGGUAGAAUUCCAGGUGUAGCGGUGAAAUGCGUAGAGAUCUGGAGGAAUGC